CACUAGGAAACUGGUGUAAAUGCUCGUGGACAGUGGUGCCUCUGGUUCCCUCAGUCUGUGUCUCUCUCACCUACGACACCCUCUUUCCUUGGCCUACACACACCAAAAAAAAUAAAACCCGAAAACUUACUUCCUUAUAGGCAGUGAGACCCACGGAUUGACUUUCAUCUCCAUUAGAUAAUUUCCAGGAUAUAACACUAGCCCAUUGGAUGGAUCCCCACUUCGCAAGAGCUGCACCGCUUUGUGGCCCGCGGGCUCCGAACCGCUCCCAUCGCCGUCUACACAGCCUCCCGCGAAACCGACUGGAGCGGCGAGCUGGCUGCCCAUCGCCCCCCGGCUGCCGAGGCCGCGGCUGCAACUGUGCGAGGAAUCCAGUAAUUAUACAAAAGGAAGGUCGGAAGGACAAAACAAACCAACCGAAAUUGACAAAUUCUGAAUUUCCUUUGCUCAGCUUCGGUUGUUCAGCCCGGAGGCAGGCGCGGGCCGCAGCACGAGGCCCACCGCGGCCUAGGAGGCCGGGCCUGCGUGGACGCGUGCACGUGUGCGCGCGCGGGAGGGUGGCGGCCCCGGGGGGCAGUCCUGCGCGGUCUUCUUGAAGUAGCCUCCAAACGAGCCUGAUUUCGAUUCCGCCGCCCGCGGGGCUGCCUCUCCGACUCCCUCGGCGCGGCCGGCCCCUGCGCUCACCCUUCCUCGGCCAAGACCUGGCUUCAUCCAUCCACUCCCCGGUGUCUCAUUGGAACCUCCCUGGGGGAAAGGGGGGGUGGUGGUGAACAACUCCCAGCCGCCAGUUCCAUUUGUUGCGCUUUUUUCCUUCGACACAAUAAAAGUCAAAUUAAUUGAUUCAUACCAUUAAUUACGGCGCGUAGCGUGAAAAGCAAGCUUCCCCUCGGUUAGAGAUCUAUUGUGCUAAUCUCUUGUUCAAUCAGUGUUACCAUCUGAUGCCGGGUCUGGCCCUUACAGAAACUUUUCGACUCGAUUAGCUAAAUGAUGAGACGUGCAGGACCCGCUGGCUGCCGCCCCGACGUCCCGCGCCCGCGCC
This 1039-nucleotide long non-coding RNA is filed under the name Equus caballus (horse). RNAcentral's name for it is "lncRNA (ENSECAG00000051156.1)". The record is from RNAcentral. Lineage: Eukaryota; Metazoa; Chordata; Mammalia; Perissodactyla; Equidae.